RNAcentral lists this non-coding RNA (208 nucleotides) under Desulfosporosinus youngiae. RNAcentral's name for it is "T-box sequence". It matches the Rfam family "T-box leader". Rfam says of the family: Uncharged tRNA acts as the effector for transcription antitermination of genes in the T-box leader family. T-boxes are found upstream of many aminoacyl-tRNA synthetase genes and some amino acid biosynthetic genes usually in Gram-positive bacteria. The record is from RNAcentral. Lineage: Bacteria; Bacillati; Bacillota; Clostridia; Eubacteriales; Desulfitobacteriaceae.
AUAGACACGUUGAAAAGGACAGUCUUUGUCAGAUAAGCUCAACAGCGAGCGGGGUAUGGUGUGAGCCCGUGAGAAACGACAAAGAGAAUCCCCUUGGAGUGAAACGCUGAAUUUUAGUAAGCUUUGUUCGGUUUGUCUCCGUUAAAAGACUUCCGAGUGGCUAUAUGGCGACAAGGGUGGUACCGUGAGUGAUAAUCUCGCCCCUUUU